AUGGAUCCCUUAUUCCAUGGAUCCCUCAUCCCAUGGAUCCCUUAUUCCAUAGAUCCCUCAUCCCAUAGAUCCCCCAUCCCAUGGAUCCCUCAUUCCGUGGAGCCCUCAUCCCAUAGAUCCCUCAUCCCAUGGAUCCUGAAUUCCAUGGAUCCCUCACCCCAUGGAUCCCUCAUCCAACAGAUCCUUCAUCCCAUGGAUCCCUUAUUCCAUGGAUCCCUCAUCCCAUGGAUGAUGAAUUCCACAGAUCCUUCACCCCAUGGAUCCUUCACCCCAUGGAUCCCUCAUCCCAAGGAUCCUGAAUUCCAUGGAUCCCUCAUUCCAUGGAGCCCUCAUCCAAUAGAUCCCUCAUCCCAUGGAUCCCUUAUUCCAUGGAUCUCUCAUCCCAUGGAUCCCUCAUCCCAUAGAUCCCUCAUCCCAUGGAUCCCUUAUUCCAUGGAUCCCUCAUCCCAUGGAUCCCUUAUUCCAUGGAUCCCUCAUCCCAUGGAUGAUGAAUUCCACAGAUCCUUCACCCCAUGGAUCCCUCAUCCCAUGGUUCCUUCAUCCCACAGAUCCCUCAUCCCAUGGAUCCCCCAUCCAUGGAUCCCUCAUCCCACGGAUCCCUCAUCCCAUGAAUCCCUGAAUCCCAUGGAUCUGCACCAUCCCCAUCCGAGGCCAGGAAUGGGGGCACAGAAGGGAGGGAUCCCAGGGACGGGACACGCGGGAUAA
RNAcentral lists this long non-coding RNA (705 nucleotides) under Taeniopygia guttata (zebra finch). RNAcentral describes it as "lncRNA (ENSTGUG00000025682.1)". The record is from RNAcentral. Lineage: Eukaryota; Metazoa; Chordata; Aves; Passeriformes; Estrildidae.